Molecule: long non-coding RNA, 1662 nt
Organism: Callithrix jacchus (white-tufted-ear marmoset)
Lineage: Eukaryota; Metazoa; Chordata; Mammalia; Primates; Cebidae
Source: Ensembl
CCAGGGGAUAGCAGAGCAAUUGAAGGAUCAUGUGGAGGUGUCCAUCGGUGGCUCCGUCAUCGGGCGUGUGCAUGACUGUACUUCCCUCUGCCGCAGACACCUCAGCCACCGUCUAGCCAGGCGAACCUGUUUGGUGUGCUCACUGCGUGAUGAAGCCCAUAGGCCAUGAAUGACACAUCGUGACUCAUGGAUGCCCCGGCUCUUUGCAUCCUGCACACAGACACAUGACGGACACUUGAUGAGACUCCUUGAUACAAAAAGCGUAUACUUUUUAGUUUUACAAGGAAGGAUUCUCUCCAAGGAAAAGUUCAAGUGGAUUUUUGGCUACCCAGCAAAUUAUUCUAACAGCCAACUCUGUGAAAUACUGUAUCUAUGAAGAAAAUGAGACCUAGAGAAGUCAAGGACCUCGCCCAGGAUCCCUUGCCUGUAAGGAUGAAGCCAGGAUUCAAAUUCAGACAGCCCGGGUCCCAGAGCCAGCAUGCUUUUAACCUCAUUCACCUCUCUUCCAGGUAUUCAGAGCUCAUACUUUUUAAAACAGAAUUAUCCUUAGGAUAAGAAUGGUCCAGUUUACUACAACCCAUGGUGUCAGCUGUACUGUGUAGACUCCAUCAAGAAAUAAUGCAUGUGGGGUGGGUGCUUGGAGCAGGGGAAAACACCACUCUCUGAAGUAAGGCCUGGUUAAAAUUACAGCGUUGGCCCAAAUCCUACACUCAGAUCACUGCAGGACCUGGAUGGUACUGAAUCCCAACCUAUAGUCGAUUCUAGUCCUAAAACUGAUGUUGUUCCCAUUUGAUGUCUUGGAAACAAACCAGUGUUGGGGCACUUUCAAGUGGUUUCUAUAAUGAGCAUUAGUAAACCCACAGGUGUGCCUAAAUGAGGAUUCGUGAAGCUGAGCAUACUUUCCCAACCCUAUAUUUCAGAAAAGUUGGCUCCCUUUUAUGUACAAAAUGAGAUAGAAUUAGAUGUACUAGUCCAAAUGAAGAGAAAUAGGUUCUCUUUCAUAUUUGUAAGACUCUAAAAGGUGUACAUAACAAUAAGUUAUUCAAAACAGCAACUUCUCAAACCCUGCCCUUUUCCAUAAAUUUCUUUAAACAGUCAGAAAAUUCACAAUUUAAUAAAAAUAAAGACCCUUGGAAAGGCUAGUCAAAGAAUAGGCCCAUUUAGUAACUUCAUGAAUAUAGGAGCUAAAAAUUAAAAUCUUCCAUUUUGACUUCCUGCUGGAAAAGUCAAAGCCAGUUCAGACCAUCUGGAGGGCAGACUACAUCUCCAGAACAUACUGUUUACUUUUAAAGUUCCCUGGGAGUGUGGGAAGGUGACAAGUUUUCUUUUUUUUUUUUUUUGUCCUUUGGUUAUCUGUGUUUCUAAUGUUUCUACAAUGGACAUGCAUUGCUCUUGUCAUAAUAAAAAUAAAUGAGAAAAGCUAUUUUUAUUUAUUUAUUUAUUUUUUUAAAUUUUUUAUUGGAUUUUAGGUUUUGGGGUACAUGAGCAGAGCAUGCAAGACAGUUGCGUAGGAACACACAUGGCAGUGUGCUUUUCUUUCCUUCUCCCCUUCACCCACAUUUGGCAUUUCUCCCCAGGCUAUCCCUCCCCACCUCCCCCUCCCACUGGCCCUCCCCUUUUCCCCGCAAUAGACCCCAGUGUUUAGUACUCCCCUUUCUGUGU